Molecule: long non-coding RNA, 271 nt
Filed under: Elaeis guineensis (African oil palm)
Lineage: Eukaryota; Viridiplantae; Streptophyta; Magnoliopsida; Arecales; Arecaceae
Description: long non-coding RNA (EGUI_LNC008547)
Source: RNAcentral
AGCCAUAGAUCCGAUCAAAUCAGGAUUAUUUCUUCCUUACCGAUUAGAUCAUCUCAUAACCUAAUCAGACCUGACUUGAUUGAAUCCAAUUCAAUCAGACUUGAUCCAGACUUUAAUGCUCAAUCAAAUUAAGUUAAUUAGUGAUUUAAUUACUAAUUAAUCUUCUAUUAAUGAUAGAGUCCCAAUCAAAUGGGACUCUUCAGUAGAGUCCUCGUCCAGUGAAACUCUUCACGAGAGUCCCAGUCAAGUGGGACUCUUCAGAUUAGCCAUA